Molecule: non-coding RNA, 2349 nt
Organism: Musa acuminata subsp. malaccensis (wild Malaysian banana)
Lineage: Eukaryota; Viridiplantae; Streptophyta; Magnoliopsida; Zingiberales; Musaceae
Source: RefSeq, a predicted model, not a curated record
ACUCCAUUCAUCGGCUUUACUAAUCUGGUAAACCCGCAACAGUUCGCAGUUGUGAAGGCCAGCAGUGACGGCCAGAGAUAUUUAGCGACUAGUUUUAGAGCGCAAGAGGAAUCUCUCUCUCCCGCCGCUUCUCUGCUCCUCGCAGCCUCGAGAAAUCGAGGGAAAAAAAAGGGUGAGUGCCAUACGGUUUGUUUUGUAGAUCGAGGAAGUGAGAAGGGGUUUUGAUUGGACUGGAGAUGGGGGAGGGCGGGGGGUUCCAGUUGGGAACCGUCGGAGCGCUGAGCCUGUCGGUGGUAUCGUCGGUGUCUAUUGUGAUUUGUAACAAGGCGUUGAUGAGCUCCCUUGGCUUCAUAUUUGCCACUACUUUGACAAGCUGGCAUCUUCUUGUUACCUUCUGUUCUCUUCAUGUGGCAUUGUUGAUGAAACUAUUUGAGCACAAACCUUUUGAUCGAAAGGCUGUCAUGGGUUUUGGAGUACUAAAUGGAAUCUCCAUAGGGCUAUUAAAUUUAAGCCUAGGUUUCAACUCUGUUGGUUUUUAUCAGAUGACAAAGCUAGCAAUCAUUCCCUGUACUGUCUUCUUGGAGACUGUAUUUUUGGCAAAAAAAUUCAGUCGGAGUAUUCAGCUCUCACUUACCAUCCUUUUAUUGGGUGUUGGAAUUGCAACUGUGACAGAUCUGCAGCUUAAUUUGCUCGGAUCUGUAUUGUCUCUUCUAGCAGUUGUUACCACUUGCAUUGCACAGAUUAUGACAAACACUAUACAAAAGAAGUUCAAGGUCUCUUCAACCCAACUUUUGUAUCAAUCUGCCCCUUACCAAGCUUUAACUCUGUUCAUAUCUGGUCCAUUUCUUGAUGGCCUUUUAACGAACCAGAAUGUCUUUGCAUUUAACUACACUCCUCAAGUUCUUAUCUUCAUUGUGCUUUCAUGCCUAAUAUCGGUCUCCGUCAACUUCAGCACAUUUCUUGUAAUUGGGAAGACAUCGCCUGUGACAUAUCAAGUUUUGGGUCAUCUCAAAACAUGCCUGGUUCUGGCUUUUGGUUAUGUGUUGCUUCAUGAUCCAUUCAGUUGGAGAAAUAUAUUUGGGAUCUUAGUUGCAAUUGUUGGCAUGGUGUUUUAUUCUUAUUUCUGUACAAUUGAGGGCCAACAGAAAGCUCGUGAAGCAUCCUCUCAAGUGUUGCAGGUGAAAGACGAUGAGUCUGAUCCUCUGAUCGGAACCGAGACUGGAGCUGGCAUAAAUGAUGAUGGUGCAGCUCAAACCGCGCAAGCAUGGAGCUCAAACAAAGAUUUGCAUGCAUGAAAUCUGCCCUAAUGUACAGAAUCAUACAUGCAGACCAGAAAUCAUCAGACCAGUUUGCAUAGCCAGUUUUGGAGAACAAGUUGCUAUAAUUAGGUCUUUGUGGAUGAGAAAGAAAGCUCUCCAAGUUGCCCUGUGGACACUACAUAUGCUGGUGGACCAAUCUCCAGGAACAAACAUGCAACGAGGUUUGAUGUCAUGUUCUUUGCAUCAUUUGGCUGCCCAUAUUAUUUCUUAUGCUAGCUGAUAAGAUCAAACACUUGGCUGCUCAUAUCAUUUCUCAUGCAACAAGAAAUCUUCCGGUUCUUCUUCACUUGUCAUGGCGGUCCUUCCGCCGGUGCAUCCAACGUGUUCGAGAGUUUGCUUCGCUGAACCUUCUUCCAUCAGCCGCGCCAUCGACACCCCAUCUUUCGCCGCAGGGAUCGAGCUGCAAUAAAGCCAAGCCAUGGCCAUCAUCAUUCUCGUCCUCCCACCUUGAAUUAUCCACCUAAUACUCCAUGGCUGUAACCAUCAACGAAGCUGGGACGUUCAUCGUGUACACAAGUGAGCAGAAGAACACAGUGCAGUUCCAACUAGAAUAGAUCCAUGCACAUGCUGCGUCCAUUUCUGUCGCUGCCGGAGGAGGAGAAGGAUCCACUAAGCGGACGGUAUCUGUCUCGCGACGGAUGGACCAAAGUCUUGUCUCUAAUGCGGCCUGCACAUGCUCGGAAGAUUGCCCCAAGGAUUUCGGUUGCAGUGGAUGAUGACCUUACGAUAUAUGUCAGUGGCAGUCAGCAGUGGCUGUGUGACGGUGGGUGGAUGAGUCCACGCCGCCAUGUUCUCUGGCUCCAAACAGCUCACGAGAACUCUAAUAUAGAUUAUGAGGGCCAAACCUUGAAAAGCUUCUCUCAUCCACCCGAUCAAACGCUUCUUAUGUGUGGAGUGAGUGAGAUUAAGGAGAAAAAUUCAAAUGCAUCGAAGGUUUAGCAAGCAUUUGAUGAAGUGAAGAAUCUUAAAAAGGAUUUGCAAGUAGCUGUUCAGAAAUUUGUUGGACCAGUGGCUGACAAGCCAUUCAUUC